Molecule: ribosomal RNA, 483 nt
Filed under: uncultured bacterium
Lineage: Bacteria
Description: bacterial SSU rRNA
Rfam family: Bacterial small subunit ribosomal RNA
Source: RNAcentral
AUGGCUCAGGACGAACGCUGGCGGCGUGCCUAACACAUGCAAGUCGAGCGAGGAGAUCCUUCGGGAUGAUCCUAGCGGCGGACGGGUGAGUAACACGUGGGCAACCUGCCUCAUAGAGAGGAAUAGCCUUCCGAAAGGGAGAUUAAUACCUCAUAACAUUGCAGUUUCGCAUGGAACAGCAAGUUAAAGGAGUAAUCCGCUAUGAGAUGGGCCCGCGGCGCAUUAGCUAGUUGGUGAGGUAACGGCUCACCAAGGCGACGAUGCGUAGCCGACCUGAGAGGGUGAUCGGCCACAUUGGGACUGAGACACGGCCCAGACUCCUACGGGAGGCAGCAGUGGGGAAUAUUGCACAAUGGGGGAAACCCUGAUGCAGCCAACGCCGCGUGAGUGAUGACGGCCUUCGGGUUGUAAAGCUCUGUCUUCAGGGACGAUAAUGACGGUACCUGAGGAGGAAGCCACGGCUAACUACGUGCCAGCAGCUGC